RNAcentral lists this transfer RNA (69 nucleotides) under Tlalocohyla picta (painted treefrog). RNAcentral describes it as "tRNA-Val". It matches the Rfam family "tRNA". From Rfam's summary of the family: Transfer RNA (tRNA) molecules are approximately 80 nucleotides in length. Their secondary structure includes four short double-helical elements and three loops (D, anti-codon, and T loops). Further hydrogen bonds mediate the characteristic L-shaped molecular structure. tRNAs have two regions of fundamental functional importance: the anti-codon, which is responsible for specific mRNA codon recognition, and the 3' end, to which the tRNAs corresponding amino acid is attached (by aminoacyl-tRNA synthetases). tRNAs cope with the degeneracy of the genetic code in two manners: having more than one tRNA (with a specific anti-codon) for a particular amino acid; and 'wobble' base-pairing, i.e. permitting non-standard base-pairing at the 3rd anti-codon position. The record is from RNAcentral. Lineage: Eukaryota; Metazoa; Chordata; Amphibia; Anura; Hylidae.
CAAAAUAUAGCUUAAAUAAAGCAUCUCGCUUACACCGAGAAGAUAUCUGUGAAACCCAAAUUAUUUUGA